CGUAAAACUUAAACCUUUAC
This 20-nucleotide transfer RNA is filed under the name Canis lupus (wolf). RNAcentral's name for it is "partial tRNA-Leu". The record is from RNAcentral. Lineage: Eukaryota; Metazoa; Chordata; Mammalia; Carnivora; Canidae.